AAGAAAAGGUCAGGAUAGCUCAGU
This 24-nucleotide transfer RNA is filed under the name Pseudoroegneria libanotica. RNAcentral describes it as "Elymus libanoticus partial tRNA-Phe". Lineage: Eukaryota; Viridiplantae; Streptophyta; Magnoliopsida; Poales; Poaceae. The record is from RNAcentral.